GAUGAAGAACGUAGCGAAAUGCGAUACUUGGUGUGAAUUGCAGAAUCCCGUGAACCAUCGAGUCUUUGAACGCAAGUUGCGCCCGAAGCCAUUUGGUUGAGGGCACGUCUGCCUGGGCGUCACAUAUCGUUGCCCGAUGCCUAUUGCCCUGUGAUAGGAAAUUCUAGGGCGAAAGAUGGCUUCCCGUGAGCGUUGUUGCCUCGCGGUUGGUUGAAAAUCGAGUCCUUGGUAGGGUGUGCCAUGAUAGAUGGUGGUCGAGUUUGCACGAGACCGAUCAUGUGUGCGCUCCCCAAAAUAUGGACUCUUUGACCCCACACGCGUCUUUUGACGCUCAUGACGAGACCUCAGGUCAGGCGGGGCUACCCGCUGAGUUUAAGCAUAUCAAUAAGCGGAGGA
Molecule: unclassified non-coding RNA, 396 nt
Filed under: soil metagenome
Description: partial contains 5.8S ribosomal RNA, internal transcribed spacer 2, and large subunit ribosomal RNA
Rfam family: 5.8S ribosomal RNA (bases 1-122)
Source: RNAcentral